UACGUAGGCAGCGAGCGUUGUUCGGAGUUGCUGGGCGUAAAGGGUGUGUAGGCGGUCCCCCAAGUUUGGUGUGAAAUCUCCCGGCUCAACCGGGAGGGUGCGCCGAAAACUGGGGGGCUAGAGUGCGGGAGGGGAGAGUGGAAUUCCUGGUGUAGCGGUGAAAUGCGUAGAUAUCAGGAGGAACACCGGUGGUGUAGACGGCUCUCUGGACCGUAACUGACGCUGAGACACGAAAGCGUGGGUAGCAAACAGG
This 253-nucleotide ribosomal RNA is filed under the name uncultured bacterium. Its description in RNAcentral is "partial 16S ribosomal RNA". It matches the Rfam family "Bacterial small subunit ribosomal RNA", at positions 524 to 776 of the family's 1533-position model. The record is from RNAcentral.